RNAcentral lists this long non-coding RNA (501 nucleotides) under Hordeum vulgare. RNAcentral describes it as "long non-coding RNA (HVUL_LNC007964)". The record is from RNAcentral. Lineage: Eukaryota; Viridiplantae; Streptophyta; Magnoliopsida; Poales; Poaceae.
UCAGCCACACUCAUCCAUCCUCGUCUCUCCUCCACACGCCUUCUUCUUCAAGCUCUCGAUCCAGAUGGGAUCGAAGCCACCACCGAGCCUCCCUUUCUUCUCUUUCCCCCACAAGGUCGGCACCACCACUCUCUGGCGACGUCCCUCGUCGGCGGGAGUCCCGGUGCCGCGAGGCCGCUCGACGGAAGCAUCUGAUGCUACUGCUGCUGAUUAUUGGUCAAAGUUUAUCACCUGGGUCAAUCCUUGUUGGUUCUGAAGUUUAUCAUCUGGGUCAAUCCUUGUCGGGGACCGUGUUGGUUCUGCCAAUCCGAUUUCUUCGUGGAAGUAUCCGAUUUAGCAGAUUGUAAUCCCUUUGUUCUGUUCCCAUCCACUACUUGUUGACUUCUGAUGCAGCAAGGCUGCUCACAUAUAAAAGUUGAUAAGAUUGGGUGCAAGGCAGUAAGGUGGGACUAUACUACGAUGACAAUCUUGUUUUGCAACACAAACACAUCUGAUCAUGAG